This 443-nucleotide ribosomal RNA is filed under the name uncultured bacterium. RNAcentral describes it as "partial 16S ribosomal RNA". It matches the Rfam family "Bacterial small subunit ribosomal RNA", at positions 28 to 507 of the family's 1533-position model. The record is from RNAcentral.
GAUGAACGCUGGCGGCAUGCCUAACACAUGCAAGUCGAUCGGUAAGGCUCUUCGGAGUACACGAGAGGCGGACGGCUGCGUAACGCGUAGGAACACACCCUGCAGUGAGGGAUAAGACACCGAAAGGUGUUCUAAUACCGCAUACGGUCUUCGGAUUAAAGCAUUUAUGCGCUGAAGGAGUGGCCUGCGUCAUAUUAGAUAGUUGGUGAGGUAAUGGCUCACCAAGUCGAUGAUGUGUAGCUGGUCUGAGAGGAUGAUCAGCCAGACUGGAACUGAGACACGGUCCAGACUCCUACGGGAAGCAGCAGUGAGGAAUAUUUCACAAUGAGCGAAAGCUUGAUGGAGCAAUGCCGCGUGCAGGAUGAAGGCUCUCGGGUUGUAAACUGCUUUUAUAAGAGAAGAUUAUGACGGUAACUUAUGAAUAAGGGACGGCUAACUACGUG